GCUAGGCUCAUGUAGCUUGGUGGUUGGUAUUUUGUUUUCUAAACUUGAUGUCCAGGGUUCGAAUCCUUUGAUACAUUGAAGAUUUUUGCACUGUGCAGUGACUGGAGUGGUCCAAGCGAGCGGGCUGCGGUGAUUGGAGUGGGCCAAGCGAGUUAGGCUGAAGAUUUUCGGACUUGUGACUAGAGUGGGCCGCAAGCGAGUAUGCGAGUGGCCUGCGAACAAGCGAAAAAAAACUACACAGGGCAGACAGAAUUACGGAGGUAGACUGAAAUUUUCACAAUUUAGUAGUAGGGAUAGAUAGGUUUUGAAAAUAGUUUUUUCAAAUGAAUCUGGUACCAUUCAGAUUUAUUUGUCCACUCAAACAUUUAAACUUGAGGAAAUCCAAAUCACACCUAAACACUUCGUUCUCUAGGUAGAGUGUAGUAGCAUGGA
This 432-nucleotide long non-coding RNA is filed under the name Sorghum bicolor (sorghum). Its description in RNAcentral is "long non-coding RNA (SBIC_LNC013517)". Lineage: Eukaryota; Viridiplantae; Streptophyta; Magnoliopsida; Poales; Poaceae. The record is from RNAcentral.